AGUAUUUUCUGUAGAGAAGGCUGUUCAGAGAGAGAAAGUCAAAUGAAAGAAGAACAUCUUGAAUUUAUACAAUGACUGGGAGAAGGCUUAAUGUGUUCUUAGAAUUGUAACUCCUAUUUGGAGAGAUUGCAAAAAGGAGCACCAGGGACAGAACCCUUGGAAGGGCCACAGGGGAUGGCAAAUGGCUCUCUCAGUUAGCUGGCUGAGCAUGUGAGCAGUCCGUACGACCAAGAUCAUUGUUGUCUCCAGCAGUGGAGAGCACCAGAUCUGAAAUCCCCAGGGCAAUUUCUGUUCAUGGAUAAGCCGGAUAAGCCUGGACUUCCCAAGUGAUGUCACAGUGAGACUUGAGCUUCGAUAACCAAGAACUUCAAGACCAAACCAUCAUUUCAAGAGAUUAUCGAGAAAAUGAAUGUGAGAAGAGCUUGUUGCAGGAAUUUCAUCAGGGGCAUACAAGUCGUGGAUUUGACUGGGACAAUUUCUUGUACAUUUCCAUUGUUUUUAACAAGAGGAGGAAGCUGUGCUGUGAAGGAUCCUUUUUCAUCAUGAUUAUUGCAUCCACAGAAGCAGUGAUAAAUUCUAACAGAUAAUGCAACUCAGUCUACUUGGAUGUUCACACCUGAGACUGGAGAAGACCUGCUGCCUUCUGCAGAGCCAAACAUUCCUCACAUGCUCCUCCACAAUGCUAGUUAAUGCAGCAAGAAUAGUCUUAUAUAGACUAUAAACUCCUGGUACACUGUGUCUACAUUGCUCACUGCAGUAUCCCAACAUCUAAGACCAUGGUCUUAGAUGUCUGGUACAGGACUGGUGCUCAGUAUGCAUUGAAUGAAUAAAUGAAUGAAUAUAGCAAAGCAUUCCAUGAUGUUCUCUUGAAUUCAUUUAUUCUUUGGAAUUUGGUUAUUUUUUUUUGUUUUUUUGGUGCAGUGGUUAUGUACUACUAGGGGUAUGAUAUGGGUUCUUCAAUAAAUCUCUUCAAAUUAUAAUAAAGAUUUAGCGCUAACCUUCUGCUCACUAUCUCCCUCUAAGUACUACAGAUGGAUGUGAUUAGCAUGCAAUUUAUCAUCUUGAUGGAAUUCAUGUCUUACAGGCCUAUGGCUUUCAAAAUUGAAGUAUCUAGAUUUAUGUUAUUUUGUCAAAUAGGAAAUGGUUUUACUCUAUUGAGAUUCCUACACUUAAAAAUUUAUAUAGACCUUAAAAAAAUCCUAAAGAAGAGUUUGAAAAGUAUGGUUAGGCAUUCUUCUAGCCAUAUAGACUAUAGAGGAGAAUAAGUUUAAGGAAAUCAUCAAGUAAAGUCAAGAACAUAGUAAAAAUGGUAACAUACCACCUUCAUGUAAGAUAAAACCAGAUAAGAUUUUAAAAAGAAGCAUUUAUGCUAUGCUUAGGAAGCCAAUCCUGUUGAAAAAACUGAUAUUGCAGCCAUAUCUGUCUGUGAGUAGUUGUAACAAUGCUGUAGGUAACAUUUCUGAGAGCAUGAUACAGUGUAGGGGGAAUCGAUCUGUGGUCUUGGGGUCCUUGGGGAAAAGGGUAUAUGAAGAGUUCUUCCAAAGUGGCCUCUAAAUCCACCUGUGUAGUAAACAGUGUCUG
Molecule: long non-coding RNA, 1581 nt
Filed under: Homo sapiens (human)
Lineage: Eukaryota; Metazoa; Chordata; Mammalia; Primates; Hominidae
Description: non-protein coding lnc-TNFAIP3-3:7
Source: RNAcentral